This 450-nucleotide ribosomal RNA is filed under the name uncultured bacterium. RNAcentral describes it as "partial 16S ribosomal RNA". It matches the Rfam family "Bacterial small subunit ribosomal RNA", at positions 354 to 796 of the family's 1533-position model. The record is from RNAcentral.
GUGGGGAAUUUUGGACAAUGGGCGCAAGCCUGAUCCAGCAAUGCCGCGUGCAGGAAGAAGGCCUUCGGGUUGUAAACUGCUUUUGUACGGAACGAAACGGUCCGGGUUAAUACCCUGGGCUAAUGACGGUACCGUAAGAAUAAGCACCGGCUAACUACGUGCCAGCAGCCGCGGUAAUACGUAGGGUGCAAGCGUUAAUCGGAAUUACUGGGCGUAAAGCGUGCGCAGGCGGUUUUGUAAGACAGGCGUGAAAUCCCCGGGCUCAAACUGGGAAUUGCGCUUGUGACUGCAAGGCUGGAGUGCGGCAGAGGGGGAUGGAAUUCCGCGUGUAGCAGUGAAAUGCGUAGAUAUGCGGAGGAACACCGAUGGCGAAGGCAAUCCCCUGGGCCUGCACUGACGCUCAUGCACGAAAGCGUGGGGAGCAAACAGGAUUAGAAACCCUAGUAGUCC